RNAcentral lists this ribosomal RNA (827 nucleotides) under Phaeosphaeriopsis agapanthi. Its description in RNAcentral is "eukaryotic LSU rRNA". It matches the Rfam family "Eukaryotic large subunit ribosomal RNA", at positions 76 to 922 of the family's 3401-position model. The record is from RNAcentral. Lineage: Eukaryota; Fungi; Ascomycota; Dothideomycetes; Pleosporales; Phaeosphaeriaceae.
UGCCCUAGUAACGGCGAGUGAAGCGGCAAUAGCUCAAAUUUGAAAUCUGGCUCUUUCAGAGUCCGAGUUGUAAUUUGCAGAGGGCGCUUUGGCAUUGGCAGCGGUCCAAGUUCUUUGGAACAGGACGUCACAGAGGGUGAGAAUCCCGUACGUGGUCGCUAGCCUUUGCUGUGUAAAGCCCCUUCGACGAGUCGAGUUGUUUGGGAAUGCAGCUCUAAAUGGGAGGUAAAUUUCUUCUAAAGCUAAAUACUGGCCAGAGACCGAUAGCGCACAAGUAGAGUGAUCGAAAGAUGAAAAGCACUUUGGAAAGAGAGUCAAAUAGCACGUGAAAUUGUUGAAAGGGAAGCGCUUGCAGCCAGACUUGCCUGUAGUUGCUUAUCUGGACUUUUGUCCAGUGCACUCUUCUGCGGGCAGGCCAGCAUCAGUUUGGGCGGUUGGAUAAAGGUCUCUGUCAUGUACCUCUCUUCGGGGAGGCCUUAUAGGGGAGACGACAUGCAACCAGCCUGGACUGAGGUCCGCGCAUUUGCUAGGAUGCUGGCGUAAUGGCUGUAAGCGGCCCGUCUUGAAACACGGACCAAGGAGUCUAACAUCUAUGCGAGUGUUUGGGUGUCAAGCCCAGACGCGUAAUGAAAGUGAACGGAGGUGGGAACCUUUUAGGUGCACCAUCGACCGAUCCUGAUGUCUUCGGAAGGAUUUGAGUAAGAGCAUGGCUGUUGGGACCCGAAAGAUGGUGAACUAUGCUUGAAUAGGGUGAAGCCAGAGGAAACUCUGGUGGAGGCUCGCAGCGGUUCUGACGUGCAAAUCGAUCGUCAAAUUUGGGCAUAGGG